Molecule: ribosomal RNA, 376 nt
Filed under: uncultured bacterium
Lineage: Bacteria
Description: bacterial SSU rRNA
Rfam family: Bacterial small subunit ribosomal RNA
Source: RNAcentral
UAAUACAGAGGGGGCAAGCGUUAUUCGGAAUUAUUGGGCGUAAAGGGCGCGUAGGCGGCUUGGCAAGUGGAAGGUGAAAUCCCUCGGCUUAACCGAGGAACUGCCCUCCAGACUGCUUUGCUUGAGGCCGGGAGAGGUGAGUGGAAUUCCCAGUGUAGCGGUGAAAUGCGUAGAUAUUGGGAGGAACACCAGUGGCGAAGGCGGCUCACUGGACCGGUUCUGACGCUGAGGCGCGAAAGCGUGGGGAGCAAACGGGAUUAGAUACCCCGGUAGUCCACGCCGUAAACGAUGAGUGCUUGGUGUAGCGGGUAUCGACCCCUGCUGUGCCGAAGUCAACACAUUAAGCACUCCGCCUGGGGAGUACGGUCGCAAGGCU